ACACUCCUGCGGGAGGCAGCAGUGGGGAAUAUUGCACAAUGGGCGCAAGCCUGAUGCAGCCAUGCCGCGUGUAUGAAGAAGGCCUUCGGGUUGUAAAGUACUUUCAGCGGGGAGGAAGGCGAUAAGGUUAAUAACCUUGUCGAUUGACGUUACCCGCAGAAGAAGCACCGGCUAACUCCGUGCCAGCAGCCGCGGUAAUACGGAGGGUGCAAGCGUUAAUCGGAAUUACUGGGCGUAAAGCGCACGCAGGCGGUCUGUCAAGUCGGAUGUGAAAUCCCCGGGCUCAACCUGGGAACUGCAUUCGAAACUGGCAGGCUAGAGUCUUGUAGAGGGGGGUAGAAUUCCAGGUGUAGCGGUGAAAUGCGUAGAGAUCUGGAGGAAUACCGGUGGCGAAGGCGGCCCCCUGGACAAAGACUGACGCUCAGGUGCGAAAGCGUGGGGAGCAAACAGGAUUAGAUACCCCUGUAGUCCCAUG
RNAcentral lists this ribosomal RNA (475 nucleotides) under uncultured organism. Its description in RNAcentral is "partial 16S ribosomal RNA". It matches the Rfam family "Bacterial small subunit ribosomal RNA", at positions 333 to 799 of the family's 1533-position model. The record is from RNAcentral.